Molecule: ribosomal RNA, 486 nt
Filed under: uncultured Gram-positive bacterium
Lineage: Bacteria
Description: bacterial SSU rRNA
Rfam family: Bacterial small subunit ribosomal RNA
Source: RNAcentral
AGAGUUUGAUCCUGGCUCAGGAUGAACGCUGGCGGCGUGCCUAACACAUGCAAGUCGAGCGAUUCUCUUCGGAGAAGAGCGGCGGACGGGUGAGUAACGCGUGGGUAACAUGCCCUGUACACACGGAUAACAUACCGAAAGGUAUGCUAAUACGAGAUAAUAUGCUUUUAUCGCAUGGUAGAAGUAUCAAAGCUUUUGCGGUACAGGAUGGACCCGCGUCUGAUUAGCUAGUUGGUAAGGUAACGGCUUACCAAGGCGACGAUCAGUAGCCGACCUGAGAGGGUGAUCGGCCACAUUGGAACUGAGACACGGUCCAAACUCCUACGGGAGGCAGCAGUGGGGAAUACUGCACAAUGGGCGAAAGCCUGAUGCAGCAACGCCGCGUGAGCGAUGAAGGCCUUCGGGUCGUAAAGCUCUGUCCUCAAGGAAGAUAAUGACGGUACUUGAGGAGGAAGCCCUGGCUAACUACGUGCCAGCAGCCGCGGU